GUUUGCAUAAAAAUGUACAGCAUAUGGAAAAAUCAGGAAAAAAUGUGUGUUCUAUUUAUCUUCAAGAUAUCUCCCCAAGUUUCCUCCUGGAGGUGCAAUUGUUUGUAAGAGCUUUUUCAUGUGAACACAGUAGUUUCUCUAUUUUAUUUAUUGUUCGCACCUUUAUGGAAAGUGAAAGGCCAAGAGAGGAUGGCAGGCUGCGGGCUAUCGGAAGAUGCCUUCUUCUCCUCUUUCUUUUACAACUACAGCUCCUCCUGGGAAACCUCCUACAACCAGGUCAAGAGUUUUCUUAAUGGCUGUGAGUAUCAGGAGCACCCAGCUGCUGUUUUCAUUAUCUACCUCUGAAACAGGUAAAUAAUGAAAGUGCUGAAACAUUUCCUACCAAGUUCCAAAGCUUUGGUCCUAGGGCAUUUCAAAGGAUUCCAAAUCAUGGGCCUAGGAUAUUUGGAGUGUCAGAGUAUUAGAAGAAAAAAAACCCUACACCUUCCGUCAAGCCCCAGGAUUCAAAAAUCAAACAUCAAAAGUGUCAGUGGCUUAGUUUUCAGCUACAGAAAACAAGAAAAUCGACUCCUUUUCCAACUUUUGCUUAUGCUGAUUCAGUUGAGAAAACAUUGAUGAAGAGAUGGGACUUCAUUAUUCCUGACUCUCCCCUAGCCCACACAGGAGUAAACAGAUGGACUGGCUCUUCUCUGCAUCACCACUUCCUUUCAGUCCCCCUAUGUCUAUUUGCCUCCCCAGAUUGCUAAUCAGCUACGCUUUGUAACUUGCAGAAUAAGCAUGUAGUUUGUUAGUAAAGAAAUCAGGUUGGUAUUUAAGGGGAAAUGGUAUUUUUUAAAAAAUGAUUGAAUAUUUUAAAGGGUUUCUUGGGACUAGCUUAUGGAUCUUACUGCAUUAAAC
Molecule: long non-coding RNA, 897 nt
Filed under: Phascolarctos cinereus (koala)
Lineage: Eukaryota; Metazoa; Chordata; Mammalia; Diprotodontia; Phascolarctidae
Description: lncRNA (ENSPCIG00000004019.2)
Source: RNAcentral